RNAcentral lists this small nuclear RNA (118 nucleotides) under Trichobilharzia regenti. RNAcentral describes it as "U5 spliceosomal RNA". It matches the Rfam family "U5 spliceosomal RNA". Rfam says of the family: U5 RNA is a component of both types of known spliceosome. Lineage: Eukaryota; Metazoa; Platyhelminthes; Trematoda; Strigeidida; Schistosomatidae. The record is from Rfam by way of RNAcentral.
GAACACUGGUGUCUCAUUAUUUGCAGAUAAAUCUUUCGCCUUUACUAAAGAUUUCCGUGAGGAGGCAUAAUACAAUAAGUCUUAUCUCAUUUUUCUCAGUUCUGUCUUCGAACAGGGU